This 503-nucleotide ribosomal RNA is filed under the name uncultured bacterium. RNAcentral describes it as "bacterial SSU rRNA". It matches the Rfam family "Bacterial small subunit ribosomal RNA", at positions 36 to 524 of the family's 1533-position model. The record is from RNAcentral.
UCAUGACCUGGCGCAGCUUACACAUGCAGUCGAACGGUAGCAGGAGAAAGCUUGCUUUCUUGCCGACGAGUGGCGGACGGGUGAGUAAUGCUUGGGAAUCUGGCUUAUGGAGGGGGAUAACUACUGGAAACGGUAGGCUAAUACCGCGUAAUAUCGAGAGAUUAAAGGGUGGGACUUUCGGGCCACCUGCCAUAAGAUGAGCCCAAGUGGGAUUAGGUAGUUGGUGGGGUAAAGGCCUACCAAGCCUACGAUCUCUAGCUGGUCUGAGAGGAUGGCCAGCCACACUGGGACUGAGACACGGUCCAGACUCCUACGGGAGGCAGCAGUGGGGAAUAUUGCACAAUGGGGGGAACCCUGAUGCAGCCAUGCCGCGUGAAUGAAGAAGGCCUUCGGGUUGUAAAGUUCGUUCGGUGAUGAGGAAGGUGUUUUGUUUAAUAGACAAAGCAAUUGACGUUAGUCACAGAAGAAGCACCGGCUAACUCCGUGCCAGCAGCCGCGGUAAU